AUACGUAGGGGACGAGCGUUGUCCGGAAUUACUGGGCGUAAAGGGCGCGCAGGCGGAUAUUUAAGUCAGCUGUAAAAGGCAUGAGCUCAACUCAUGUAUGCGGUUGAAACUGGGUAUCUAGAGUGCUGGAGAGGUAGGCGGAAUUCCCGGUGGAGCGGGGAAAUGCGUAGAUAUCGGGAAGAACACCAGUGGCGAAGGCGGCUUACUGGCCAGCAACUGACGCUGAGGCGCGAAAGCCAGGGGAGCGAACGGGAUUAGAUACCCCGGUAGUCCUGGCCGUAAACGAUGAAUGCUAGGUGUGGGUGUCGAGAGGCAUCCGUGCCGGAGUUAACGCGAUAAGCAUUCCGCCUGGGGAGUACGAUCGCAAGAUUGAAACUCAAAUGAAUUGACGGGG
Molecule: ribosomal RNA, 394 nt
Filed under: uncultured bacterium
Lineage: Bacteria
Description: partial 16S ribosomal RNA
Rfam family: Bacterial small subunit ribosomal RNA
Source: RNAcentral